AACAUUUUGGUGUAGGAUAGUGAUUGAGGUGGUUUGGUUUGUUUUUGUGCUGUGUUCCAAAAGGUUCUGGUGUUUGGCUUGUUUGUGAUCGGUUUGUAUUUUUCUCUCUUGUGGAUUAUACCUAAAAAAUGAGAAUCAUUUAAUAGUGAGGUAUGGUCUGAUUCUUUGGAUGCUGUGUGCGAGAUAUCUAUGUUAAGAUUGUGUGGAGAGUCCUGCCCUGCGGUUUUUGACAAAACAUGUUCAACUUUUUUACAGGCAGGGGAUAUUGUCCCUAGGCUAUCUAUAUAUUUGUUCAGAAAGUCUUCAUAUGUUUCUUCUUUUUCCAGUUUAGUAGCAGUCAUUGGUGGUUUCCUGUCUUUAACUUUGUGCACUGUCAGAGUGUUGUUUCUUGGUGGUCUAGUAGCCGUGACUUCCUCAUAGUUUGAGUGUGUAUUGUAAUGCAUUGCAUUUGUGACAGUAUUGCUUUUUUCUUUUACAUGUUUUUUGUUUUUUGCUACCUGGAGAGAAAUGCUGAACUGGUUUUGGCGCUGAACUGGUCUUAUUUUACUUGAUGCUAAGCUAGUUAUUUUUGAAAAAGACCCUUUCCUAAUAAUAGGUGUGUUUUGUGUUACUUUCACAGAUGUGUUUGGUUCCAGCUUAUUUUGAUUUUGCAUUUGUUGGUGUAGCAUCUGUAGCUGAUGUUCCACUUGGUCUUGACAGGUAGUUAGCUGAGUGAGUUGGUACAGUACAAGAGCAAGAUUGCCUUGCUUGUGCAAGUCUGUACCAGUAGUUUGCGCUUCUGGAGAAGUAAAUUCUAUCACCUUGGUGUGUAGGUCAGCACUUAAAGUUUGCGUUUCCACAUUUUUACUUACUCCAAUUUUUUGAUUUCUUGUAUCUCGAUUUGAGGUAAUGUUCUUUUCAAGAUUUCUAAUUGUAUUCUUUAAGUUACUAAUUGUCUUUACAUAGUCAUCAAUAAAUUGUCCUUGUUUAUUGUCGUGCUCUUCAAAAAAGGCUUGUGUGUCUAAGCGAAGUUUCUUUUCUUUUUCCAAUUGGACUUGCGUUUCAGAAAUAUUCUGUAGUAGCCUUUCUAUUUUAUUGAUGAACUUAUUUUCUUCACUUUCCAUCUUCUCAAUCUUUUCUUCCAGAGUUUCUAUUGUAGCUUCUAGUCUAAUAUUUUUCUCCUUCAGGAAGUUAUUUUCUUCUAGAAGAGCUGCUCCUAUCUUUGCGGCCAUUUUUAAUUUUUCAUCAUUAUCUUCUAGAUUGUGUAGAACGUUACUCUCAUUCAGACUGCGUUCGAGUUCAUCUAAUGAUGUAUACAAGACAUCUGGGCUUUUGGAAGAGCUAGCUUUAUAUGCCACUUCUGCUUCAGCUAGGGCUUUGUUAAAUUUUCCAUUUUUGAAAUUUUCUGUUUGUGGUAUACCGUGGAUAUGAACGUUUGUAGAAUAUAAAGAUAGACAGGACUCUUUCACUGUGGCUGUUGUACUGUCGCCAAAAAAUGUGACAGAAAAUGUUACAGAAAAUGUUGAAGCUUUGUUUUCAUGUUUUACUAUUUCUGUGAUUGUGGCAGGCCAGUGACGUAUUCCUUUUAGUUUAGCGAAAACUAUGUCCCCCUCUGAGAAUUGUUGUUUAUUGCAAGCCAUAUCUAAUAGGCUCAAAACUGAAGUGGGUCAGUUUUUACAGCCUUCAGUUUUGACAGAAUCCUAUUGCAAUACACUGUUGUUGCCUGGUUGCAUUCUUAAAUCAGCAGGCACUGACAGAUGUGGUUGAUAUUAGAUUGGCUCAGUCCUCUUGGUAAACUAAAAAUUUACUGAGCCAGUUGCCUUCGGAUUCUUGGAUGUGAUUCAAGCAGUACACUGUUGUAGUCGUGUUGCGUCGCUGAGAUGCAGGCACCAGUGAGUGUUUGCUCUUUAGCUUAGAGUGGUAGUAGUCUGGUGCUCUGGUUGUGAAGGAUGUCAAGUUAUUGAAGAGUUAUUGAUAUAUUAUUUGCAUAAUAUUUCUGUCAGAAAAGAAAUACUUGGGAAUAAAUAUUAAGUUAGUUAGUAAUAAUAGUUAAGGAUUGCAAGUAAUCAAACUUGUUCGUUAUCAGAUAACACAAGAUGCAUUAAACAACCUCAGUCAAGUUUCAAGGUCAACACAAUCAAGAUAAUAGUCAAAGCUUUAUCAAUUGUGAAUGUCAAAGUUCGAUUGUGCUGUGGUUGGGGAUGGAAUAGUCUCAGACAGGAAACUACCACAGUUAUCAAAUGCAGGUUAUAACUUCUUGUCAAAACUAAAACUAAGAGAUUGUUAAUAUUACUAUUUCCUUAUUGAAGACACUGGAAAGAGUGUUAGUUUUUAAUAAAAUCUUGACUACUUGCAGUGAUUUUCACAACCCUAAGCUUUUUAAUUAAUAAACCACAGUUAAUCCAACAGUCACAAAACAUGUGAUUGAGUGAACUGUAUAGUACAAGAAGUGAACUGUGAAAAAUUAAACUCAGAUUUGUCUCUGAUGGUACCUCUUGAUUUGGCUACCACACCUGACAGCGAAGAAGAGCUUAGAUUAGGCAAGGAGAUUCUGCAGUUCUACACCAACACUGACGCUCUCUCUUGG
This 2566-nucleotide long non-coding RNA is filed under the name Homalodisca vitripennis (glassy-winged sharpshooter). Its description in RNAcentral is "uncharacterized LOC124373267". The record is from RNAcentral. Lineage: Eukaryota; Metazoa; Arthropoda; Insecta; Hemiptera; Cicadellidae.